This is a long non-coding RNA of Bos grunniens (domestic yak), 4804 nucleotides long. Lineage: Eukaryota; Metazoa; Chordata; Mammalia; Artiodactyla; Bovidae. The record is from Ensembl.
AUGCUGGUUGAAGGCGGGUUCCGACGUGAGACACCCCGAAACCUGCUCCCCUGUGAGAACAAAGGCAGGUGCCGAGCGAGAGCCUGGUUGGUGCCGGACGCUCCCCGGCGUACUCCGGGCCCCAGAGAUUGCUCUGCCCACUGGAGCCGAGUUCCGUGCACACUGGAACCCCAGCUCCCCACCCAGCCCUGGCUGAAACCACAUAAGACUGUGCGUUAUGACAUCACCUGUUUUCGGGCUGGAGAACGCGAUCAGUAUUCUCGGCUUCUGCUUUUCUUAAAGGUCGCUAGCGUACGAGGAUCCGUGAAGGCCUGCAGUUGGCAGAAUGAAUCUGUGGAGAUGAUUUACACGAAUGAUUUCACUGACUUCUUCGUCUUUCCCCUGGGGGCACCCAAAGCCUUGGAUUGCAGGGGCCUAAGACCAGUCAGUACUACUCCGAAGGAGGAAUUAAGAAGAUGUGAUCCAAAAGGGGCUCUGCUUGAGCGCCGCUUCCCCUCCCACCCUCUCCAUCGCCCACCUCCACCAGGAAAAUUAUUCUUACCGAAGCUCAUUUUCCAAGGAACAAAUAUUCCAGCAAGAUCCCGAUUUCUGCCAGCUUUCUCUUCUAACUUCCCCUUCCAGAGUUUCCUGCAUUAAACCCUGUAGAAAGCAGAUUGCAAAGGAGAGGCCUACAGAUCUGGGUUUAUCAUUGUUUGGCCUGCAAAUGUUAGCCAGCACAGUUCUUUUUAACAUUGAAUUACUUAAAAACACUUGAUGUAGGAGAUUUUUGCCGCCACCCGCACCCCCACCCACCAACAAGUCUAGAUUUCUGGUGUCUCUUGAAAAUGGUUAGAUCUGGUUACACUGGAUGUGUACUGGUAUAUGGCCACCAUCUGCUGGAACCCAGCACCUGUUAUCUGCAUUUGGACAUGCAUUUUCAGGUUUACCAACGUCUCUGUCACUCUUCUGGGGUUCCAUUUUGCCACUUUAUAUACAUUGUCUUCUUGACCUUUGUAAGGAUUUGCCAUCUCAGAACUUUCUCCGGCACUCAAAUUACUAAUCUACUGACUGAUCCUCUUAACUUUAUCAUAGAACAUGAGUUAAAAAGAAACAUGUCAUCUCUUGGCUAUAGCAGAAGUUGAGGAAAAGGAUCCAAUGUAAAGAAUAUCAUGAUAUGCAGUUGCCUGGGUGAUAGUAAAUAAGGGAUGGAUUGCAAAGUGGCCUGAGGAAUCUUUUGCUGGUUGUGGAAAUGAUAUGUAUCUUGAUUGUGCUAAUACUUUCAUGGGUGUACAUAACUGUCAAAAUGCAAUAAACUGUACAGUUUUAUUAUGCAGUUAACUGUGUGUAAGUUACGUCUCAAAAUAGUGGAUUUUAAACAAAAACAGAAUAAUGGUUGUAUAAUAUUUUAACAUUUGUAUGUAUAACAAUCUGUUCAGUCAAAAUUCUAUAAUUGGAUAUUUGUGGGAAUACUUUUAGUGAAAAUAAAUAAUAUCAAAUAUGCAAAUUCACAAAAAGGAUAUCACGAUAUGUAUAUCAAUUAUACAUUAAUUAAAAAUAAAUUUAAAAAAGAAUACUCUGGUACUCUGACACAUACGUGUGUGUGUGUGUAUACACAUUGGUACUCUGACACAUACGUGUGUGUGUGUGUGUGUGUGUAUACACACAAGGGGAAGGACAGUUGUCUAAGAAGGGACUAUUAUGUCCUUUACACUGGUAACCUUAUUCCUUAUUCUAACUCUGUCUAAAUUCCCAUUCAAAUUGUAGCUUUAGGAGAAAGGGACCAAGGGGAACGUGGCAAUAGUAGGAGGCCCAUGAGAGUGUUUUCUUUGAUAAGCAUUAUCAUGUGGGGACUAAGAGCUGGGGCUUUGGAGUCAGAUACGGAUUUGAGCGCUGACUUGGACCCUUACUAGAUAUAUGUCCUUGGGCAAGUCACUUACUGUCUCUAGGCUUCAGUUUCCUCAUCUGUGAGAUUGAGUAAUAAUGGUACUUUCUCAAAGGGUGAUUGUGAAGACUGAAUGAGACAAUGCACCGUAGUGUUCAGGAAGUGACUAGAACCUUGCAAGCCCUCAAAAAGUGUUUGCUGCUAGCUGCCACAAUACAAAGGAUGUUAUGCUCUGACAUUGGUCUAGUUACCUAACUUUUCUAUGUCUUAAUCUUUGUCAUCUAAAAAGAAGAUAUUAAUAUUGGCUUAGUUAUAGACAGCUGUUUUGAGGAUUAAAGGAGUUAUAUGUAAAGCGCUGUAAGACAAUGUCUUGCAUAUAAGAAAUGCUAUAUGAAGAUUUACUCUUAUUGUAUACUGUGGUCAGGAGAUCUUUUUUAUUUUCCUCUUUGUUUUUCUGUGAAGAUCUUUGAUUUUCUUUUUAUUUUAUUUUAUGUUUAAACUUUACAAUAUUGUAUUGGUUUUGCCAAAUAGCGAAAUGAUUUUCAAGGUACUUCUCAAAAGUAAGGUAACGUAUUGUAGAAGUAGCAAUGGACAGAAAGUCAGAAGACCUAAGGUUUAGUUUAGUAGUGCUGUAAACUAAGUGAUCUGGGGCCUCAGCUUCCUUUUCUGUUAAAUGUGGAAGGGUCAUUAAGUGGGGUCAGGGCCAAUCCAGAUUAUAGGAAAAUUGAAACUUAUGAAAUAUGGAGACUUUCCUUAAGAAAAAAAUAUGAAACUAUGGAUGCAAAAUUAUUUAUGAAAGUGAAUACUUAUUUAAAAUUAAUAAAUGGAAUCAAUAAACUUUAAAAAGCUGAAAAUACUAUAAACAUCAUAAAAUCCAAAUAAAUAACAAAACUAUCAAUCAACUACCUGACACAACCCUAUAUUACUUUUUUCCCCUCCAUAUUUUUGGCUGUAUAUUUUCAUUUCCUUUUCAUAUGAGAAUGAUUUUUGCAAUAUUAUCUUCUAUGGAGAAAAUAGAAGGAUGAUUCAUUUUUUUCUCUAGUCUAGUGCCCUAGAACACUUAUGCAUCAUAAACAUUUUCCAACCUACAUCUUUGUGACAUGAUGCAUGUGAAUUGGCCUGGUGGCAGUAGAAAUAUUCCUAGAAUCCAUUCUUACAUUGGGACAACUCAAAACCAACAACCACACCUGAAAUGACUAUUAUCUCUUUCUAUAUAUAUAACCCACUAAACACAAGCUAAAGGUACCUCCAUCUCAACUUCCCCUUACCUAGAAUAACAAAUAUACCCAUGGCUUCCCAAUUUCUCUGGCAGGAGGGAGAGUUUGAAAGAGGUAACUUGAGUACAAAGAGUUUGUGUGGUCCUUACCAAUAAUGGUUAAUAGCUUGUUUUAAAAAAUUUAAUUAAUGACGAUGUGGACACAUUUCUCUGGCCUCUCCAAAGAGCCUUGGAAGGGGCCAGUGCUAGUGAUGGACACUAAGGUUUAAAUGUCAUUAAAUUUGUGGUUAAUUCAUAUCUGAGAAUCACAAAGACCUAGUCAAGCUCUAAAAUUCUGUGAAUUUGUUUUGUCUUACAAUUUCCAUGAGAAUCUAGUGCAAGCAGGAUUACUAAGACAGGAGAAGCAGGAGAAUAUCUGCAAGUAGGCAGGGAGAAAGUAAAAGCAGCUCUAGUCUCAAAAAAUCCCCAAAGUUGCCCGGGUUUUCUUUGUUCCCUUAUUUCUUCUGUGAGUCUAUUCCUUUUUUUUUUUUUAAUUAAUCUAUUUGUACUCACCCUAGUUCUUAAUAUCUUUCUUACAGAUGUGAGGAAACUAAGACAGAGAAAUAAUUUUAUGUAUUUUAAAGAGAGAUCAUUGUGGAAUAUGCUAGUUGUCUGGGUGUUAAAAAGGAAAGUGGGUGAAUAAAACAAAAAUCCACAUUAGAGUAAGGGAGUUUGGAAGGAUCCUGUUAAUUGGAGUAUAGAAGAGUUAUAAUUUUUAGACUCAAGUGUCUUAGAUAACAUUAAUAAAUGGAAUCAAUAAACUUUAAAAAGCUGAAAAUACUAUAAACAUCAUAAAAUCCAAAUAAAUAACAAAACUAUCAAUCAACUACCUGACACAACCCUAUAUUACUUUUUUCCCCUCCAUAUUUUUGGCUGUAUAUUUUCAUUUCCUUUUCAUAUGAGAAUGAUUUUUGCAAUAUUAUCUUCUAUGGAGAAAAUAGAAGGAUGAUUCAUUUUUUUCUCUAGUCUAGUGCCCUAGAACACUUAUGCAUCAUAAACAUUUUCCAACCUACAUCUUUGUGACAUGAUGCAUGUGAAUUGGCCUGGUGGCAGUAGAAAUAUUCCUAGAAUCCAUUCUUACAUUGGGACAACUCAAAACCAACAACCACACCUGAAAUGACUAUUAUCUCUUUCUAUAUAUAUAACCCACUAAACACAAGCUAAAGGUACCUCCAUCUCAACUUCCCCUUACCUAGAAUAACAAAUAUACCCAUGGCUUCCCAAUUUCUCUGGCAGGAGGGAGAGUUUGAAAGAGGUAACUUGAGUACAAAGAGUUUGUGUGGUCCUUACCAAUAAUGGUUAAUAGCUUGUUUUAAAAAAUUUAAUUAAUGACGAUGUGGACACAUUUCUCUGGCCUCUCCAAAGAGCCUUGGAAGGGGCCAGUGCUAGUGAUGGACACUAAGGUUUAAAUGUCAUUAAAUUUGUGGUUAAUUCAUAUCUGAGAAUCACAAAGACCUAGUCAAGCUCUAAAAUUCUGUGAAUUUGUUUUGUCUUACAAUUUCCAUGAGAAUCUAGUGCAAGCAGGAUUACUAAGACAGGAGAAGCAGGAGAAUAUCUGCAAGUAGGCAGGGAGAAAGUAAAAGCAGCUCUAGUCUCAAAAAUCCCCAAAGUUGCCGGUUUUCUUUGUUCCCUUAUUUCUUCUGUGAGUCUAUUCCUUUUUUUUUUUAAUUAAUCUAUUUGUACUCACC